This 454-nucleotide ribosomal RNA is filed under the name uncultured Diaphorobacter sp. RNAcentral's name for it is "bacterial SSU rRNA". It matches the Rfam family "Bacterial small subunit ribosomal RNA", at positions 924 to 1382 of the family's 1533-position model. The record is from RNAcentral. Lineage: Bacteria; Pseudomonadati; Pseudomonadota; Betaproteobacteria; Burkholderiales; Comamonadaceae.
CACAAGCGGUGGAUGAUGUGGUUUAAUUCGAUGCAACGCGAAAAACCUUACCCACCUUUGACAUGGCAGGAAGUUUCCAGAGAUGGAUUCGUGCCCGAAAGGGAACCUGCACACAGGUGCUGCAUGGCUGUCGUCAGCUCGUGUCGUGAGAUGUUGGGUUAAGUCCCGCAACGAGCGCAACCCUUGCCAUUAGUUGCUACGAAAGGGCACUCUAAUGGGACUGCCGGUGACAAACCGGAGGAAGGUGGGGAUGACGUCAAGUCCUCAUGGCCCUUAUAGGUGGGGCUACACACGUCAUACAAUGGCUGGUACAGAGGGUUGCCAACCCGCGAGGGGGAGCUAAUCCCAUAAAGCCAGUCGUAGUCCGGAUCGCAGUCUGCAACUCGACUGCGUGAAGUCGGAAUCGCUAGUAAUCGCGGAUCAGAAUGUCGCGGUGAAUACGUUCCCGGGUCUU